RNAcentral lists this ribosomal RNA (928 nucleotides) under uncultured bacterium. RNAcentral describes it as "bacterial SSU rRNA". It matches the Rfam family "Bacterial small subunit ribosomal RNA", at positions 61 to 985 of the family's 1533-position model. The record is from RNAcentral.
GUCGNNCGGCAGCGCGGGGCAACCUGGCGGCGAGUGGCGAACGGGUGAGUAAUAUAUCGGAACGUGCCCUGGAGUGGGGGAUAACGCAGCGAAAGUUGCGCUAAUACCGCAUACGAUCUAAGGAUGAAAGCGGGGGAUUCGCAAGAACCUCGUGCUCCUGGAGCGACCGAUAUCUGAUUAGCUAGUUGGUGGGGUAAAGGCCUACCAAGGCAUCGAUCAGUAGCUGGUCUGGGAGGACGACCAGCCACACUGGAACUGAGACACGGUCCAGACUCCUACGGGAGGCAGCAGUGGGGAAUUUUGGACAAUGGGCGAAAGCCUGAUCCAGCAAUGCCGCGUGAGUGAAGAAGGCCUUCGGGUUGUAAAGCUCUUUUGUCAGGGAAGAAACGGUGCGGGCUAAUAUCCGGCACUAAUGACGGUACCUGAAGAAUAAGCACCGGCUAACUACGUGCCAGCAGCCGCGGUAAUACGUAGGGUGCAAGCGUUAAUCGGAAUUACUGGGCGUAAAGCGUGCGCAGGCGGUUUUGUAAGUCUGUCGUGAAAUCCCCGGGCUCAACCUGGGAAUUGCGAUGGAGACUGCAAGGCUAGAAUCUGGCAGAGGGGGGUAGAAUUCCACGUGUAGCAGUGAAAUGCGUAGAGAUGUGGAGGAACACCGAUGGCGAAGGCAGCCCCCUGGGUCAAGAUUGACGCUCAUGCACGAAAGCGUGGGGAGCAAACAGGAUUAGAUACCCUGGUAGUCCACGCCCUAAACGAUGUCUACUAGUUGUCGGGUUUUAAUUAACUUGGUAACGCAGCUAACGCGUGAAGUAGACCGCCUGGGGAGUACGGUCGCAAGAUUAAAACUCAAAGGAAUUGACGGGGACCCGCACAAGCGGUGGAUGAUGUGGAUUAAUUCGAUGCAACGCGAAAAACCUUACCUACCCNNGAC